RNAcentral lists this ribosomal RNA (1482 nucleotides) under metagenome. Its description in RNAcentral is "bacterial SSU rRNA". It matches the Rfam family "Bacterial small subunit ribosomal RNA". The record is from RNAcentral.
AGAGUUUGAUCCUGGCUCAGGAUAAACGCUAGCGGCAGGCCUAACACAUGCAAGUCGAGGGGUAACAGGGGAGCUUGCUUCCGCUGACGACCGGCGCACGGGUGAGUAACGCGUAUACAAUCUGCCCCUUACAGGAGAAUAGCCAGAAGAAAUUCUGAUUAAUGCUCCAUAGUCUUUAAUAGUGGCAUCAUUAUAAAAGUAAACCUUUCGGGGGGUAAAGGAUGAGUAUGCGUAACAUUAGAUAGUUGGUGAGGUAACGGCUCACCAAGUCCACGAUGUUUAUGGGGUCUUAAAGGAUGGUCCCACACACUGGUACUGAGACACGGACCAGACUCCUACGGGAGGCAGCAGUGAGGAAUAUUGGUCAAUGGACGCAAGUCUGAACCAGCCAUGCCGCGUGCAGGAAUACGGCUCUAGUAGUUGUAAACUGCUUUUAUACGGGAAGAAUGCUUUACUUAUGUAGAGAGAGACUGUACCGUACGAAUAAGGAUCGGCUAACUCCGUGCCAGCAGCCGCGGUAAUACGGAGGAUCCAAGCGUUAUCCGGAUUUAUUAGGUUUAAAGGGUACGUAGGCGGGGAAUUAAGUCAGUGGUGAAAUCUUGCAGCUUAACUGUAACACUGCCAUUGAUACUGGUUCUCUUGAGUAUAGGCGAAGUGGGCGGAAUAUAACAUGUAGCGGUGAAAUGCUUAGAUAUGUUAUAGAACACCGAUUGCGAAGGCAGCUCACUAGACUAUUACUGACGCUGAUGUACGAAAGCGUGGGUAGCGAACAGGAUUAGAUACCCUGGUAGUCCACGCCGUAAACGAUGAUUACUGGUUGUGUGCGAUACACUGUAUGCGACUGAGCGAAAGCAUUAAGUAAUCCACCUGGGGAGUACGUUCGCAAGAAUGAAACUCAAAGGAAUUGACGGGGGCCCGCACAAGCGGAGGAACAUGUGGUUUAAUUCGAUGAUACGCGAGGAACCUUACCUGGGCUCAAACGCAAGCGCUCGACCAAGAGAUUGGUUUUUCUAGCAAUAGACGCGAAGCGAGGUGCUGCAUGGCUGUCGUCAGCUCGUGCCGUGAGGUGUCGGGUUAAGCCAUAACGAGCGCAACCCCUAUCAUUAGUUACCAGCGGAUCAAGCCGGGGACUCUAAUGAGACUGCCACCGUAAGGUGAGAGGAAGGUGGGGAUGACGUCAAGUCAGCACGGCCCUUACGUCCAGGGCUACACACGUGUUACAAUGGCCGGUACAAAGGGCAGCUACCUAGUGAUAGGAUGCUAAUCUCUAAAGCCGGUCUCAGUUCGGAUCGAAGUCUGUAACUCGACUUCGUGAAGUUGGAUUCGCUAGUAAUCGUAUAUCAGCAAUGAUACGGUGAAUACGUUCCCGGGCCUUGUACACACCGCCCGUCAAGCCAUGGAAGCCGGGGGUACCUGAAGUCUGUAACCGCAAGGAGCGGCCUAGGGUAAAACUGGUAACUGGGGCUAAGUCGUAACAAGGUA